RNAcentral lists this ribosomal RNA (855 nucleotides) under Conticribra weissflogii. Its description in RNAcentral is "partial Bacterial large subunit ribosomal RNA". It matches the Rfam family "Bacterial large subunit ribosomal RNA", at positions 740 to 1700 of the family's 2925-position model. Lineage: Eukaryota; Bacillariophyta; Thalassiosirophyceae; Thalassiosirales; Thalassiosiraceae. The record is from RNAcentral.
GCAGGGUGAAGGUGCAGUAACAUGCACUGGAGGCCCGAACCGUUGAGCGUUGAAAAGCUCUCGGAUGACCUGUGCCUAGGGGUGAAAGGCCAAUCAAACUUGCUGAUAGCUGGUUCUCCUCGAAAUCUAUUUAGGUAGAGCGUUAGAUGAAUACCAUCGGGGGUAGAGCACUGGAUGGGCUAGGGGGUCUCACCGACUUACCAAACCUAACCAAACUCCGAAUACCGAUGAGUAAUAUCUGGCAGACACACUACGGGUGCUAAGGUCCGUAGUGGAAAGGGAAACAGCCCUGACCGCCAGCUAAGGUCCCUAAGUUAUGGCUAAGUGGGAAAGGAUGUGAGAGUGCAUAGACAACCAGGAUGUUGGCUUAGAAGCAGCCAUCAUUUAAAGAAAGCGUAACAGCUCACUGGUCAAGCGCUCUUGCGCCGAAAAUGUACCGGGGCUAAAGCCAUACACCGAAGCUGCGGAUGCACAUUUAUGUGCGUGGUAGCGGAGCGUUCUGUAAGCCUGUGAAGGGUGACCCGCGAGGGCACUUGGAGGUAUCAGAAGUGAGAAUGCUGACAUGAGUAGCGAUAAAGAGGGUGAGAGACCCUCUCGCCGAAAGACCAAGGGUUCCUGCGUAAAGCUAAUCUGCGCAGGGUUAGCCGGCCCCUAAGGCGAGGCCGAAAGGCGUAGCCGAUGGGAACCACGUUAAUAUUCGUGGGCCAAGGGAUGAGUGACGGAUUUCGAAAGUUGUAGCCCCUUAUUGGAUUGGGUCUGCAGCCUGGAAGUUCCUGGAAAUAGCCUCCCAUUAAGACCGUACCCGAAACCGACACAGGUGGUCAGGUAGAGAAUACCAAGGCGCUUGAGAGAACG